UACGGGGGGGGUAAGCGUUGUUCGGAAUUACUGGGCGUAAAGGGCUCGUAGGCGGCCAACUAAGUCGGACGUGAAAUCCCUCAGCUUAACUGGGGAACUGCGUCUGAUACUGGAUGGCUUGGAUUUGGGAGAGGGAUGCGGAAUUCCAGGUGUAGCGGUGAAAUGCGUAGAUAUCUGGAGGAACACCGGUGGCGAAGGCGGCAUCCUGGACCAAUAUUGACGCUGAGGAGCGAAAGCCAGGGGAGCAAACGGG
RNAcentral lists this ribosomal RNA (253 nucleotides) under uncultured bacterium. RNAcentral's name for it is "partial 16S ribosomal RNA". It matches the Rfam family "Bacterial small subunit ribosomal RNA", at positions 524 to 776 of the family's 1533-position model. The record is from RNAcentral.